ACAGGUGACUGGGGCGAAAGCCUGAUCCAGCAAUGCCGCGUGUGUGAUGAAGGCCUUCGGGUUGUAAAGCACUUUUGUCCGUGAAAGAAAUGGUUUUGGUUAAUACCUGGGGUUGAUGACGGUACCGGAAGAAUAAGGCCCGGCUAACUUCGUGCCAGCAGCCGCGGUAAUACGUAUGGUCCAAGCGUUAAUCGGAAUUACUGGGCGUAAAGCGUGCGCAGGCGGUUGUGCAAGUCCGAUGUGUGAUCCCCGAGCUUAACUUGGGAAUUGCAUUGGUGACUGGCCGGAUCUAGAGUGUGUCAGAGGGGGGUAGAAUUCCACGUGUAGCAGUGAAAUGCGUAGAGAUGUGGAGGAAUCCCGAUGGCGAAGGUGAGCCCCCUGGGAUAACACUGACGCUCAUGCACGAAAGCGUGGGGAGCAAACAGGAUUAGAUCCCCUGGUAGUCCCCGCCCUAAACGAUGUCAACUAGUUGUUGGGGAUUCAUUUCUUUAGUGACGUAGCUAACGCGUGAAGUUGUCCGCCU
RNAcentral lists this ribosomal RNA (523 nucleotides) under uncultured Ralstonia sp. RNAcentral describes it as "bacterial SSU rRNA". It matches the Rfam family "Bacterial small subunit ribosomal RNA", at positions 359 to 874 of the family's 1533-position model. Lineage: Bacteria; Pseudomonadati; Pseudomonadota; Betaproteobacteria; Burkholderiales; Burkholderiaceae. The record is from RNAcentral.